CCUACGGGAGGCAGCAGUAGGGAAUAUUGCUCAAUGGGGGAAACCCUGAAGCAGCAACGCCGCGUGGAGGAUGAAGGUUUUCGGAUUGUAAACUCCUUUCGGCAGAGAAGAUAAUGACGGUAUCUAACGAAUAAGCACCGGCUAACUCCGUGCCAGCAGCCGCGGUAAUACGGAGGGUGCAAGCGUUAUUCGGAAUUACUGGGCGUAAAGAGCGCGUAGGCGGGAUGGCAAGUCAGAAGUGAAAUCCUAUGGCUUAACCAUAGAACUGCAUUUGAAACUGUUAUUCUAGAGUGUAGGAGAGGUAGGCGGAAGUCUUGGUGUAGGGGUGAAAUGCGUAGAUAUCAGGAGGAAUACUGAUGGCGAAGGCGGCCUGCUGGAACGUAACUGACGCUGAGGCGCGAAAGCGUGGGGAGCAAACAGGAUUAGAUACCCGGGUAGUC
This 440-nucleotide ribosomal RNA is filed under the name uncultured bacterium. RNAcentral describes it as "partial 16S ribosomal RNA". It matches the Rfam family "Bacterial small subunit ribosomal RNA", at positions 338 to 795 of the family's 1533-position model. The record is from RNAcentral.